GAUGAAGAACGUAGCGAAAUGCGAUAAGUAAUGUGAAUUGCAGAAUUCAGUGAAUCAUCGAAUCUUUGAACGCACAUUGCGCCCCCUGGUAUUCCGGGGGGCAUGCCUGUUCGAGCGUCAUUUCACCACUCAAGCCUCGCUUGGUAUUGGGCAACGCGGUCCGCCGCGUGCCUCAAAUCGACCGGCUGGGUCUUCUGUCCCCUAAGCGUUGUGGAAACUUUCGCUAAAGGGUGUUCGGGAGGCUACGCCGUAAAACAACCCCAUUUCUAAGGUUGACCUCGGAUCAGGUAGGGAUACCCACUGAACUUAAGCAUAUCAAUAAGCGGAGGA
Molecule: unclassified non-coding RNA, 330 nt
Filed under: soil metagenome
Description: partial contains 5.8S ribosomal RNA, internal transcribed spacer 2, and large subunit ribosomal RNA
Rfam family: 5.8S ribosomal RNA (bases 1-120)
Source: RNAcentral